UGGUUAUGCCAGACUAAUAAAUCCCAGGU
This 29-nucleotide non-coding RNA is filed under the name Rattus norvegicus (Norway rat). The record is from RNAcentral. Lineage: Eukaryota; Metazoa; Chordata; Mammalia; Rodentia; Muridae.